RNAcentral lists this transfer RNA (165 nucleotides) under Staphylothermus marinus F1. It matches the Rfam family "tRNA". From Rfam's summary of the family: Transfer RNA (tRNA) molecules are approximately 80 nucleotides in length. Lineage: Archaea; Thermoproteati; Thermoproteota; Thermoprotei; Desulfurococcales; Desulfurococcaceae. The record is from Rfam by way of RNAcentral.
CCCGCGGUAGCUCAGCGGCAGAGCGCCCGGCUGUAGUGGGGAAAAUCUGAGCCCCCCACCCGCCAGACAUCCCCGGAAACCUGGGGAAAUAGAAUGAUGGCGGGGCGGCGAAUAGAGGGCUCAGCAGAUACCGGGUGGUCGGGGGUUCAAGUCCCCCCCGCGGGA